Non-coding RNA from Acanthosepion pharaonis, 112 nucleotides. The record is from the annotation of a GenBank genome assembly. Lineage: Eukaryota; Metazoa; Mollusca; Cephalopoda; Sepiida; Sepiidae.
CAGCCACAUCACAUUGAAAUGCAGGUUCCCCAUGCGAUCACUGAAGUUAAGCAAGGUCAAGACUGGUCAGCACUUAGAUUGGUGACUACUUUGGAAUACCAGGUGCUGUAAG